AAAAAGAUAAGCUAAAAUAAGCUAAUAGGCUCAUACCCUUUGAAUGAGAGUAAAAAAUCUCUCUCUUUUUA
This 71-nucleotide transfer RNA is filed under the name Matrona basilaris. Its description in RNAcentral is "tRNA-Met". The record is from RNAcentral. Lineage: Eukaryota; Metazoa; Arthropoda; Insecta; Odonata; Calopterygidae.